AUACGGAGGAUCCGAGCGUUAUCCGGAUUUAUUGGGUUUAAAGGGAGCGUAGGCGGACGCUUAAGUCAGUUGUGAAAGUUUGCGGCUCAACCGUAAAAUUGCAGUUGAUACUGGGUGUCUUGAGUACAGUAGAGGCAGGCGGAAUUCGUGGAGUAGCGGGGGAAUGCUUAGAUAUCACGAAGAACUCCGAUUGCGAAGGCAGCCUGCUGGACUGUAACUGACGCUGAUGCUCGAAAGUGUGGGUAUCAAACAGGAUUAGAUACCCUGGUAGUCCACACAGUAAACGAUGAAUACUCGCUGUUUGCGAUAUACAGUAAGCGGCCAAGCGAAAGCGUUAAGUAUUCCACCUGGGGAGUACGCCGGCAACGGUGAAACUCAAAUGAAUUGACGGGG
This 393-nucleotide ribosomal RNA is filed under the name uncultured bacterium. RNAcentral's name for it is "partial 16S ribosomal RNA". It matches the Rfam family "Bacterial small subunit ribosomal RNA", at positions 523 to 918 of the family's 1533-position model. The record is from RNAcentral.